Molecule: ribosomal RNA, 2908 nt
Filed under: Edwardsiella ictaluri
Lineage: Bacteria; Pseudomonadati; Pseudomonadota; Gammaproteobacteria; Enterobacterales; Hafniaceae
Description: 23S ribosomal RNA
Rfam family: Bacterial large subunit ribosomal RNA
Source: RNAcentral
GGUUAAGUGACUAAGCGUACACGGUGGAUGCCUAGGCAGUCAGAGGCGAUGAAGGACGUGCUAAUCUGCGAUAAGCGUCGGUGAGCUGAUAUGAAGCAUUAUUAGCCGGCGAUGUCCGAAUGGGGAAACCCAGUGCAAUCCGUUGCACUAUCGUUAAGUGAAUCCAUAGCUUAACGAGGCGAACCAGGGGAACUGAAACAUCUAAGUACCCUGAGGAAAAGAAAUCAACCGAGAUUCCCCCAGUAGCGGCGAGCGAACGGGGAAGAGCCCAGAACCUGAAUCAGUUUGUGCAUUAGUGGAAGCGUCUGGAAAGUCGCGCGAUACAGGGUGAUAGCCCCGUACACGAAGGUGCACAGCUGUGAGUUCGAUGAGUAGGGCGGGACACGUGUUAUCCUGUCUGAAUAUGGGGGGACCAUCCUCCAAGGCUAAAUACUCCUGACUGACCGAUAGUGAACCAGUACCGUGAGGGAAAGGCGAAAAGAACCCCGGCGAGGGGAGUGAAAUAGAACCUGAAACCGUGUACGUACAAGCAGUGGGAGCACCCUUUUGGGUGUGACUGCGUACCUUUUGUAUAAUGGGUCAGCGACUUAUAUUUUGUAGCAAGGUUAACCGAAUAGGGGAGCCGUAGGGAAACCGAGUCUUAACUGGGCGUCUAGUUGCAAGGUAUAGACCCGAAACCCGGUGAUCUAGCCAUGGGCAGGUUGAAGGUUGGGUAACACUAACUGGAGGACCGAACCGACUAAUGUUGAAAAAUUAGCGGAUGACUUGUGGCUGGGGGUGAAAGGCCAAUCAAACCGGGAGAUAGCUGGUUCUCCCCGAAAGCUAUUUAGGUAGCGCCUCGUGAACUCAUCUUCGGGGGUAGAGCACUGUUUCGGCUAGGGGGUCAUCCCGACUUACCAACCCGAUGCAAACUACGAAUACCGAAGAAUGUUAUCACGGGAGACACACGGCGGGUGCUAACGUCCGUCGUGAAGAGGGAAACAACCCAGACCGCCAGCUAAGGUCCCAAAGUCAUGGUUAAGUGGGAAACGAUGUGGGAAGGCACAGACAGCCAGGAUGUUGGCUUAGAAGCAGCCAUCAUUUAAAGAAAGCGUAAUAGCUCACUGGUCGAGUCGGCCUGCGCGGAAGAUGUAACGGGGCUAAACCAUGCACCGAAGCUGCGGCAGCGACGCUUAGGCGUUGUUGGGUAGGGGAGCGUUCUGUAAGCCGUUGAAGGUGGCCUGUGAGGGCUGCUGGAGGUAUCAGAAGUGCGAAUGCUGACAUAAGUAACGAUAAAGCGGGUGAAAAGCCCGCUCGCCGGAAGACCAAGGGUUCCUGUCCAACGUUAAUCGGGGCAGGGUAAGUCGACCCCUAAGGCGAGGCCGAAAGGCGUAGUCGAUGGGAAACAGGUUAAUAUUCCUGUACUUGGUGUUAUUGCGAAGGGGGGACGGAGAAGGCUAGACCGGCCGGGCGACGGUUGUCCCGGUUUAAGCGUGUAGGUGUGAUGACCUGGCAAAUCCGGUUAUCUUUAACACUGAGGCGUGAUGACGAGGCACUACGGUGCUGAAGUGGUUAAUGCCCUGCUUCCAGGAAAAGCCUCUAAGCUCCAGAUAACACUGAAUCGUACCCCAAACCGACACAGGUGGUCAGGUAGAGAAUACCAAGGCGCUUGAGAGAACUCGGGUGAAGGAACUAGGCAAAAUGGUGCCGUAACUUCGGGAGAAGGCACGCUGGCAUGUAGGUGAAGUCCCUCGCGGAUGGAGCCGAAGCCAGUCGAAGAUACCAGCUGGCUGCAACUGUUUAAUAAAAACACAGCACUCUGCAAACACGAAAGUGGACGUAUAGGGUGUGACGCCUGCCCGGUGCUGGAAGGUUAAUUGAUGGGGUCAGCCGCAAGGCGAAGCUCUUGAUCGAAGCCCCAGUAAACGGCGGCCGUAACUAUAACGGUCCUAAGGUAGCGAAAUUCCUUGUCGGGUAAGUUCCGACCUGCACGAAUGGCGUAAUGAUGGCCAGGCUGUCUCCACCCGAGACUCAGUGAAAUUGAACUCGCUGUGAAGAUGCAGUGUACCCGCGGCAAGACGGAAAGACCCCGUGAACCUUUACUAUAGCUUGACACUGAACAUUGAACCUUGAUGUGUAGGAUAGGUGGGAGGCUUUGAAGUGUGGACGCCAGUCUGCAUGGAGCCGACCUUGAAAUACCACCCUUUAAUGUUUGAUGUUCUAACCUGGUCCCGUGAUCCGGGAUAGGGACAGUGUCUGGUGGGUAGUUUGACUGGGGCGGUCUCCUCCCAAAGAGUAACGGAGGAGCACGAAGGUUAGCUAAUCCUGGUCGGACAUCAGGAGGUUAGUGCAAAGGCAUAAGCUAGCUUGACUGCGAGAGUGACGGCUCGAGCAGGUGCGAAAGCAGGUCUUAGUGAUCCGGUGGUUCUGAAUGGAAGGGCCAUCGCUCAACGGAUAAAAGGUACUCCGGGGAUAACAGGCUGAUACCGCCCAAGAGUUCAUAUCGACGGCGGUGUUUGGCACCUCGAUGUCGGCUCAUCACAUCCUGGGGCUGAAGUAGGUCCCAAGGGUAUGGCUGUUCGCCAUUUAAAGUGGUACGCGAGCUGGGUUUAGAACGUCGUGAGACAGUUCGGUCCCUAUCUGCCGUGGGCGUUGGAAGAUUGAGAGGGGCUGCUCCUAGUACGAGAGGACCGGAGUGGACGCACCGCUGGUGUUCGGGUUGUGAUGCCAAUUGCAUUGCCCGGUAGCUACGUGCGGAAAAGAUAAGCGCUGAAAGCAUCUAAGCGCGAAACUUGCCUCGAGAUGAGUCUUCCCUUGGACCUUGAGUCCACUGAAGGAACGUUUAAGACUAAGACGUUGAUAGGCUGGGUGUGUAAGCGUAGCGAUACGUUGAGCUAACCAGUACUAAUGAUCCGAGAGGCUUAACCUU